RNAcentral lists this ribosomal RNA (373 nucleotides) under uncultured Bacteroides sp. Its description in RNAcentral is "bacterial SSU rRNA". It matches the Rfam family "Bacterial small subunit ribosomal RNA", at positions 523 to 898 of the family's 1533-position model. Lineage: Bacteria; Pseudomonadati; Bacteroidota; Bacteroidia; Bacteroidales; Bacteroidaceae. The record is from RNAcentral.
AUACGGAGGAUCCGAGCGUUAUCCGGAUUUAUUGGGUUUAAAGGGAGCGUAGAUGGGUUGUUAAGUCAGUUGUGAAAGUUUGCGGCUCAACCGUAAAAUUGCAAUUGAUACUGGCAGUCUUGAGUACAGUUGAGGUAGGCGGAAUUCGUGGUGUAGCGGUGAAAUGCUUAGAUAUCACGAAGAACUCCGAUUGCGAAGGCAGCUUACUAAACUGCAACUGACAUUGAUGCUCGAAAGUGUGGGUAUCAAACAGGAUUAGAUACCCUGGUAGUCCACACGGUAAACGAUGAAUACUCGCUGUAGGCGAUAGACAGUCUGCGGCCACGCGAAAGCAUUAAGUAUUCCACCUGGGGAGUACGCCGGCAACGGUGAA